UCAGCUAUGCUCUCUAGUUGUUCUUGUCACCCAUUUCUUCCCACGCGUAAGUUUUUCGUCGUAUGAACUCGACAUUCAGUUUUAAGCCUAUGUCAUCCUAAGGUAUUGCUAAGUGAAUAGAUCUCACGGACGUCCAUGAAUGAUAAAAUCAUAGAUCGAAUAGCCAAACUGACAAAGUUGGAUGCUAUCAAAAAGCUUUAUGAGUUGUGUAGAUAAGCAGACUCAAACAACUGACAUCCACUGCAUGGUAAACUACUGCCUCUCAGGUUACCUUUUUCUUUUGUUUGUAUUCAGAUUGAAAAAGUAGUGAGAAUGAGAAGUGUUAACUGUUAAAGUUUUUUUUUUUUUUUUUUUUAAUGAGAAGUGUUAACUGUUAAAUUUUUUUUUUUUUUUUUUUGAAUCAUCCUGACCUUAAAGCUAUCUUUUCGUAGGACCUCCCAUACAAUAUAGUCACUGCAAUAGAACUUAACCACCAAUUUGGGUGGAUUAGUGUGGUUCAUCCACGCGUAAGACACCAAAACAUCAAACCAUGAAAGUGCUCAAACUGUACAACAAAAGCAAUCACCAGUGUUACUCUACAAGCACAUCUCCAAAUGCUGUCUUCAGCAACCACCUGGCAUAUGUACUUCAUAGUUAUUGGUCAUCUACUUUCCAAAUUCCUAGUAUUAUUCAUCCGAGUUUCCACUAUAAAGUGUUCUGUCGAGGCACUUUUAGAUAUGCAGAGUGACACAUUUUGUUGCAAAUGUCACACUUCACUGAAUUUUUUAAUCAUCUGAAGAGCACAAAGUACUAUAACAUAGUUUAUGGGUAAUCUAAG
Molecule: long non-coding RNA, 817 nt
Filed under: Capsicum annuum
Lineage: Eukaryota; Viridiplantae; Streptophyta; Magnoliopsida; Solanales; Solanaceae
Description: long non-coding RNA (CANN_LNC004145)
Source: RNAcentral